Molecule: long non-coding RNA, 1545 nt
Organism: Bubalus bubalis (water buffalo)
Lineage: Eukaryota; Metazoa; Chordata; Mammalia; Artiodactyla; Bovidae
Exons: 3
Source: RefSeq, a predicted model, not a curated record
CAGUUAAUUCCUCUAAACGGUUACUUACUGACCGUUAGCUACCUGCGGUACUCCAGGCCAGUAGUGAGGAAGAUAGAGAAAGUCCUGCUACUUAGGGGACCUAGAUAGUAGCCCAAGAUUACAAAGGCAGUUGUGAUGGAGAACGUGAGGUUGCUAAUCCCGUUUUGGGAGGGUCAAGGACGGCCUCCCCGAAAGACCCGGCUUUACAGAGCAGAACUUCUGGACAGCAUAGCUAAGGAAAGAGUGGCUGCUUGCUUCCACAUGUCUGGUCACAGGCUCUCUUCAGAGACAGGACCCGAUGGCUGAAAGGAAAAAGCUCCUCCUGCUGGAAAUCAGUGUGAGAAGUUACUAGAUCAGAUAAUCAGAGGAAAACUGUGGUUGAACUUCAGUGAGGAGCUUACCAGGUACUGUUAACAACUAACACAAAAGUAAUUCCAAGUCAACAGACACACGAUACAAAGUACUUGAAAGUCUGUCCUAAAACCUCAGAGGAAUCGGAGGAAUCAUCCCAAAGCAGAUAACUGCAGGAAGUGUCGCCUCCCAGAGACCCACCAGACAAGAUCGCCAGAGCUGCAAAUUGCCUUUUGCUCUUUUUCUUUGAGCUUUCCUCUCUGCCAAGUUAAGGUUUAAAUUGUUGACACUUUUUAUCUAUGAACUAUGAUACUUUGAAAGUCUUUAUCCUUAAUACUGUUUUCUUUGUUUUUUUCCCCAAUUGCUCACUCCUUGGUGUGAAUCCAGUGCUAGGCUGCAGUUUGCUCAUGGUUUGGUAACAGUACGCAAUUACCCUGUCUACUGGGUUUGUACUCAAUUUUCUUCAGGUGCCACCCAGCUUCCUUUGCUAUCAAUUUGUUGGAAUUAAUCCACUCAUUUCCUUCCUUGGUGGGUAAGACUCAACCAGGAGGUGGGCAGGGGAUGAAAAGUAAGAGGCCAAACAACCAGAAUUUUAAAACCCCCUGUUAUGUCAUACAUAGAAAGGAAGGUUUCAGCCCUAAAUAAAACAAUUCUCCCAAAAACUUUUGUGAAAAUUUAGCUAUUCCAAGCAAAUUUUCACAAAAGUCAGUGAUGGAGGAUGAAAGGCGUGAUAAGGGGGUACUUUGAGAAAACAUAAAACAGGGAAUUCAUUGACGGUUGAGUGGUUGGGACGCCACACUUUCACUGCCAAGGGCUGGGAUUCAAUCUGUGUUUGGGGAGCUAAGAGCCGCAAACCACACAGUGCAGCAAAAGAGGGAAAAAAAGAAAACAGAGAAGACAGUAAGAGGAAAUGAGACAGUUAAGAGUUCCGUGAGGGAAGAUGGGCCCCAUAGGGUACUCAAUCAAAAAAGAAAGAGAGAGGUAACUAUGCCUCUGGCGAGGCCCCAAAGAAGUAGGAGCUAGUGCCAUCGAGUCUGUAAAUGGUCUGGAACUUGGGCCUCUGUGGAAUCCAGUCAGAAGGUAGAAGCCAGAGGUAUACGGGCUGAGAGAGGGCCUGGUUGCAGGUUUUCUGAGGCUCCCUGAGAGGCUGAAGGUAGAGACUGAGCUGACCUUGCUCAGAGGAAUGAUGGGAAG